Molecule: transfer RNA, 77 nt
Filed under: Spirochaetota bacterium
Lineage: Bacteria; Pseudomonadati; Spirochaetota
Description: Spirochaetes bacterium tRNA-Pro
Rfam family: tRNA
About the family: Transfer RNA (tRNA) molecules are approximately 80 nucleotides in length. Their secondary structure includes four short double-helical elements and three loops (D, anti-codon, and T loops). Further hydrogen bonds mediate the characteristic L-shaped molecular structure. tRNAs have two regions of fundamental functional importance: the anti-codon, which is responsible for specific mRNA codon recognition, and the 3' end, to which the tRNAs corresponding amino acid is attached (by aminoacyl-tRNA synthetases). tRNAs cope with the degeneracy of the genetic code in two manners: having more than one tRNA (with a specific anti-codon) for a particular amino acid; and 'wobble' base-pairing, i.e. permitting non-standard base-pairing at the 3rd anti-codon position.
Source: RNAcentral
CGGGAUGUAGCUCAGUAGGCCAGAGCACCCGGUUUGGGACCGGGAAGUCGCAGGUUCGAAUCCUGUCAUCCCGACAA